Molecule: small RNA, 1278 nt
Filed under: Pongo abelii (Sumatran orangutan)
Lineage: Eukaryota; Metazoa; Chordata; Mammalia; Primates; Hominidae
Description: processed transcript
Source: RNAcentral
AUAGGCGUAGCUUAUCAAUGUGUGUUUCACUUAGCUAUUUUGACCCUCAGGGGCGGCACGUAAAAACUUAUGAGGUGUCUCUCCGAGAAAAGGAAUUCAAUAAGGGCCCUUGGAAACAGGAAAAUGUCGAAGCUGAAGCUUCCAUGGUGAUCGCAGUCCCAGAGCCCUUUGGGGGGGCCAUCAUCAUUGGACAGGAGUCAAUCACCUAUCACAAUGGUGACAAAUACCUGGCUAUUGCCCCUCCUAUCAUCAAGAAUGACAACGUAUCAGUAAACAUGUAAGAUAUAUUGAUGGAGCUCCUCAGAAAAUUAUCUUCAAAAUAAAAAAGCUUCCCAUUUUCUAUUAAUGGGGAAUAGGUUCUAUCCUCAUUUUCAUGUAAUGUUAUCUGAGCGAUUUGUCUGCUGCAAAGCACGAUUGUGUGCCACAAUCGAGUGGACCCUAAUGGCUCAAGAUACCUGCUGGGAGACAUGGAAGGCCGGCUCUUCAUGCUGCUUUUGGAGAAGGAGGAACAGAUGGAUGGCACCGUCACUCUCAAGGAUCUCCGUGUAGAACUCCUUGGAGAGACCUCUAUUGCUGAGUGCUUGACAUACCUUGAUAAUGGUGUUGUGUUUGUCGGGUCUCGCUUGGGUGACUCCCAGCUUGUGAAGCUCAACGUUGACAGUAAUGAACAAGGCUCCUAUGUAGUGGCCAUGGAAACCUUUACCAACUUAGGACCCAUUGUGGAUAUGUGCGUGGUGGACCUGGAGAGGCAGGGGCAGGGGCAGCUGGUCACUUGCUCUGGGGCUUUCAAGGAAGGUUCCUUGCGGAUCAUCCGGAAUGGAAUUGGAAUCCACGAGCAUGCCAGCAUUGACUUACCAGGCAUCAAAGGAUUAUGGCCACUGCGGUCUGACCCUAAUCGUGAGACUGAUGACACUUUGGUCCUCUCUUUUGUGGGCCAGACAAGAGUUCUCAUGUUAAAUGGAGAGGAGGUAGAAGAAACCGAACUGAUGGGUUUCGUGGAUGAUCAGCAGACUUUCUUCUGUGGCAACGUGGCUCAUCAGCAGCUUAUCCAGCCACCUGGCAGUGGUAGAUUGGUAAAACCGGAGGGAAAGUUCUGUCAGUUUGCAGACCAAGUGUGGGACGUGCCCAGAUACUGAGUCAUUGCUUUGUCAGUGUUAUCUAACUAUUGGCCUGAAGACUGGCACCAGCUCACCUAUCUAUUAUUAAAGAGCUUUCAUCCUUACAUAUAAACUCAGUUAUGCUAGAUCACUUCAGCAUCGGUGAGGUUGGUCUCUCAAG